AGGAAAGACAGGCAACCGCGAGUGCCCCAGUAAUGGCGAAUGAACUGGCAACACCACCUGACAGAGAGUGUGGCUCAUCCCGAAGUGGUUUCCCUUCCAGCACUGACCCCCUUGUGGGGCAGGCCUGCGGUUGGCUACCGUGGAAUCCAGCAGAUGCUGUGGGCUGUGGGGCGGGCAGCAUGCCAGUGGUGUGAGGACCGUGCCAGGAAGACGCCCUGGAAAGGCGCACGCCAGAGGGAGACUGUCCCGUACCACCCGUGCACGGUCCCUUGCCCACGGCAUGGCUGUCCGCGUCCAGGAGUAGAAUGGCUUGGGACUGCAGUUUGAAGUGCAAGGUGUAUCCAUUGCAAGGCAGAGUACUGGCCUGGGACCGAUAGCGCACAAGUAGAGUGAUUGAAGGAUGCAAAGGACUUUGCAAAGAGGGUUAAAAGUCCCUGAAGCUGUGGCAGCAACGGCGGAGAGUGGAGCUGUGAUCGACUGGAGAUGGACCCUGUCUGGUCCCCCCAUGGGGAAUUGGCCUCCCAAGACUGUCUUGGCUAAAGCAGGAGCGCCGUUCCCCUUGGGGUGAGUUGGCCUAGGACCAUGGCAGAGGGACCACAGACCUAUACAUGCCAAGCAACCUUGGGCCAGCCCAGCACUGGCCAGGAAGCCCUGUUGUUGUCUCAGCAACCAAGCCCCCAAUGGGGAGGACGCCCACCCUGGCAGUGCCUGGUGACACCCUGCGUGCCUGGGCCUGAGGCUUAGAUUGGAUUUGGCUUGACCUUGUGGCGAAUGGAUGAUAUGGCACCCCACUGAGAGCAGAGCAGAGCAAGGGCUGGUGAGAUGAUGGAGAUGCGGGUUGCAGAGCAAAGGGCUACAGCAGGAGUCCCUCCGUGGAGGCAUGCAGAGACAUUUGUUCUGGCCAGACAGAGCAGAGCGCACCCUUGAGCAAGGUGUGGGAGCCAUAUGGGAAGCGAGACAGACAGACAUUGACACCUGCCUAUUGUACGUGUGUCAUCCUCUACUGAGCGAACGCAUGAGAGAACCCCCUGGUGUGUCUUCCGGACAUGCCAGUCACUGUGCCUGGUCAUGGCCCGAGGCUGGUGGACACACGGUGGCUGCACCACCCUCAUGGCUGGUGGCUCCUGUGUGACCGCGUGGUCUCCCAGACAGAGCACGGUGUGAGAGGCAGAGUGGAGCUUGGGCCAUCAGUGCCACCCUCUGCCCGUCUUGAAACACGGAUCAAGGAGUCUAUGGAGCUUGCGCACAGUUGGAAGGUUCCCCCAAUGGAAGCCGCGGUGCAUGGUGAAGGCAACAGACCCAGAUGGUGAAUUCCCCCCGCGUGGGGGAGGACGGUGCUGCAUGGGACACCGGUCCUGAAGUCCAAUGGACAAGGUUCUGAGUGAGUGCAAGGUCCCUGGGACCCGAAAGGUGGUGAACUAUACCGUUCUAUGGUGAAGCCUUGGGAAACUGAGGUGGAGGCCAGCAGCUGUUCUGACGUGCAAAUUGUGUAGCCUGAGUGUGGCAUAGGGGUGAAAGGCCAAUCGAACCACCUAGUAGCUGGUUUCCUUCGAAGUUUCCCUCAGGAUAGCUGGGCUUGAGUGCAACCCACCCAGAGAGAGGUUACGCCCGGUAAAGCAACGCAUGAGAGGCCAUUGUAAAGUCCCUGGGAAGGCCGUCCUUCUCAACCUAUUCUCGAACUGUGAAUGGGCGUGAACAACAACCCACAAUGCAAGCUCCUUCACUGGCGCCGGAGUCUGUGCUGGUCAUCUAUGGACAGUCCUACUGGCAACGUCUGAGCAUGUUUGUCUGUGGUGGUGGCAGCCAACUGAUUGUCUUGAGCAAGGCGCCACACCGUGCUGUGCUUGGAAAGGGCAAGGGGGCCUGUGCCCCUCCGUGGUGGCCACGUCCCCUUGCCUGCACGCACACGCCACACCCACACACCCAACUGGUGCUUGAGAGAGAUUGGUGCAAUGAGCAGAGACAGAGCUGCCACCCCCUUGGGAGAGAACAGACAGGCCUAUGUGGACCAUGAUUGGUAAGCAGUGCUGGUGAUGCGGGAUGCUCCGAGAGUGGACUUACAGGUCCAGAGUGCUGGCUCAUACCCAGAUCCCACAAAGGGUGUUGCUUGCUGGAGAUAGCAGGACGGUGGCCAUGAAGGUUGGAACCCGCCAAGGAAUGUGUAACAACUCACCUGCCAAAGCGUGCAGCCCCGAAAAUGGAUGGUGCCCAAGUCAGUGAAGCUGAGUUUGCCUUACAGUCCACUGCCACUGUGGCAGCAACAAGCAGAGCAUUGGCAUGUAGAAUGGACAUGGGAGAGUGCGGUGCCUGCUGGGGUCACCCCUGGCUUGAGUGUCUCCUGGCGCAGAUCUUGGUUGCAGUAGCAAGUACUCCAUCAGGGAAGGUGCAGAACAACCCCUGGCCGUGUGUGGUUGAGGACUGGAGUGGAGCAGGUUUCCACAACAAACAGCCGUUGAAUGUGGGUCAGCCGAACGUGAGCCAAGUGGUAAAUUCACUGAACAACCAAAGCUGCUGUGCAUGGCAGGAAUGGCAAACAGGCAAGCAGGGACAACAUUCUGCUGCAAUGGGCCCGGGGCACCCAUACUGAGAGUUGAGUGGUGACUCUCCAUUGAUUGCUGGAUCAAGCAGGCCUUGGGGCAGUGGACCCCCUGGGGAGUUCUCUUUUCCUCCUGAUGCAGGUUCACGUGGGCUGUUGAAUGGCAUGACAGAUGGUGGCACACAGGCCCUCCACCCAGCAGGGCAGCAAUCUCACAAUGUAUGGUACAGCUGAUGGUCUCCUCCUUCCGUCUUCAAAGGGGCUCCGUGUGGUCUCCCCUGGUCAGCAGCAUGACAGAUCCAAGGGCUAAAGCAGGCAAUGGCUAUGUACAGAGAGAGCACGAACGGCAGACAGAAAGGCCCCUGGGCAAGGCCAGGCGCAGAGCAGCAACACAAGCAACCCUCUGGACACUUCUCUUCUCUGGCAGUCACUGGCUCCAAUGAAAGUCCUGUGUGGGCGUGUGCCCCGAACCCCUGGGUUCUCGUACUGAAUCACCGCAGCUGGUCUCCUCAGCUGGACGCUGCUAGUCCACAGAUUGAAUGCAGCUAAGGGAAGUCGGCAAACUAGCUGUGUACCUUUGGAAGAUGCAGUGGCUCCAGAGGCCAAGCCACCCGUUGGGUCCCACCGCGGUGCCCUCUAGUACGUCUCAUGCCUGUGUACCAACGAAACUCACCCUGCCACUCCAAUGGAUUUGUCAUCGGGAUCUGCGCACACACUUAGAUGCCUUGCCUCUGGGAUUGGCACUGUCCUUCUUUGAUUGUGGUGAGGCCUGCCUGCUGGCGCGGUGGGUUCGCCCACAGUAGAGUGCCACGCAGCCCGCCUCCUCCCUGGUGUCUACAUGGUGGCCCAUAUGGAACUGAUGCUGUGCAGGGGAAUCUGACUGUUUAAUUGAAACCCAGCUUUGUGAGGGGACCAGCUGGCUGGUUCCAUGAGGUGACUUCUGCCCAGUGCUCUGAUUGUGACCACGAAGAGAUUCAGUGAAGCGCGGGUAAACGGCGGGAGUAACUAUGACUCUCUUAAGGUAGCCAAAUGCCUCGUCAACCAAUUAUUGACGCGCAUGAAUGGAUCAACGAGAUUCCUGCUGUCCCUAGGUGCUGUCUGGUGAACCAACCGCCAAGGGAACGGGCUUGGGUGUGUCAGCGGGGAAAGAAGAGCCUGUUGAGA
This 3700-nucleotide ribosomal RNA is filed under the name Monomorphina ovata. RNAcentral's name for it is "Monomorphina pyrum var. ovata partial large subunit ribosomal RNA". It matches the Rfam family "Eukaryotic large subunit ribosomal RNA", at positions 54 to 2421 of the family's 3401-position model. Lineage: Eukaryota; Euglenozoa; Euglenophyceae; Euglenales; Euglenaceae. The record is from RNAcentral.